Molecule: ribosomal RNA, 490 nt
Filed under: uncultured bacterium
Lineage: Bacteria
Description: partial 16S ribosomal RNA
Rfam family: Bacterial small subunit ribosomal RNA
Source: RNAcentral
AUUGAACGCUGGCGGCAGGCCUAACACAUGCAAGUCGAACGGUAACAGGAAACAGCUUGCUGUUUCGCUGACGAGUGGCGGACGGGUGAGUAAUGUCUGGGAAACUGCCUGAUGGAGGGGGAUAACUACUGGAAACGGUAGCUAAUACCGCAUAACGUCGCAAGACCAAAGAGGGGGACCCUCGGGCCUCUUGCCAUCGGAUGUGCCCAGGUGGGAUUAGCUUGUUUGUGGGGUAACGGCUCACCAAGGCGACGAUCCCUAGCUGGUCUGAGAGGAUGACCAGCCACACUGGAACUGAGACACGGUCCAGACUCCUACGGGAGGCAGCAGUGGGGAAUAUUGCACAAUGGGCGCAAGCCUGAUGCAGCCAUGCCGCGUGUAUGAAGAAGGCCUUCGGGUUGUAAAGUACUUUCAGCGGGGAGGAAGGGAGUAAAGUUAAUACCUUUGCUCAUUGACGUUACCCGCAGAAGAAGCACCGGCUAACUCCGUG